RNAcentral lists this ribosomal RNA (680 nucleotides) under uncultured Tremellomycetes. RNAcentral's name for it is "eukaryotic LSU rRNA". The stretch from base 226 to 379 matches the Rfam family "5.8S ribosomal RNA". Lineage: Eukaryota; Fungi; Basidiomycota; Tremellomycetes. The record is from RNAcentral.
CUUGGUCAUUUAGAGGAAGUAAAAGUCGUAACAAGGUUUCCGUAGGUGAACCUGCGGAAGGAUCAUUCACAAUGAGUGUUUUAUGGCACUCUUUAAAAAUCCAUAUCCACCUUGUGUGCAAUGUUUGUUGGGAGAGAGGCAACUCUUUCCCUUCACAAAUAUCAACCUAUAUCUUUAACAACAUUCGUCUGAUAACAUAUUAUGAAUAUACUUAAUUCAAAAUAUAACUUUCAACAACGGAUCCCUUGGCUCUCGCAUCGAUGAAGAACGCAGCGAAAUGCGAUACGUAAUGUGAAUUGCAGAAUUCAGUGAAUCAUCGAAUCUUUGAACGCAUAUUGCGCUCUUUGGUAUUCCGAAGAGCAUGCUUGUUUGAGUAUCAGUAAACACCUCAACCUCCUCUUGUUUUUUCAAAAGGAGGGUGGACUUGAGCUAUCCCAACAACCUUCACCGGUAGGCGAGCGGCUUGAAAUGCAGGUGCAGCUGGACUUUUAUCUGAGCUAAAAGCAUAUCUAUUUAGUCCUCGUCAAACAGGAUUAUUACUAUUGCUGCAGCUAACAUAAAGGAUAAUUGUCCUCAUUGCUGACUGAUGCAGGAUUUUACGACACUUUAUGUGUUGUUCAACUCGAUCUCAAAUCAAGUAAGACUACCCGCUGAACUUAAGCAUAUCAAUAAGCGGAGGA